Phlebotomus papatasi is the source of this 2516-nucleotide long non-coding RNA. RefSeq lists it as uncharacterized. Lineage: Eukaryota; Metazoa; Arthropoda; Insecta; Diptera; Psychodidae. The transcript has 3 exons. The record is from RefSeq and is a predicted model, not a curated record.
GAAAAAUGGAAUUUAUUUAAAUUGAAUAUUUUGUAUUUAAUGUUAAAAAUUCUGGGUAAAUAUUCGAAUCAAUUGACUUUUCUUUCAAUACAAACGAAAUAAUUUUGAUUUUGAAAGUAAUCACAAUAAUUUCAAAUAUUUGUGCAUUCAUACGGAGAAUAAAUAAUUUUUCUUUUAGCGUGAAUGUUUAAAUAUUUGAAAUAAAUACCUCAGCUUUUGAAUCAAAGAUAAUAUAUGUUAAAAAUAACAAUUAUACAUUGAAAAUGAAAAACUACACAUUUAUAUUAAAUGUGCAACGUUGUGUUGUCAAAAAUAAAAUUUUACUUUUGAUUUAAAAGUACUGUUUUAUGAAAUCAAAUGCAACAAGCAUUUAUUUAAUGGGUAAAAUUUAAUAUUGACAUUUUUGUUUACGUCUUAAUAUUAUCUGUAUUUAUUUCAAAUGAAAAAGACUUUUUAAACAAUUGUUUCAAAAUUUUAUUUCAAAUGAUUUUUUUUUCUAUCUAAACAUUAAAUGACCAGGUAUUAAAUUGAAUUGUGAGAAACUUUUCUGUAUAAAAUAUGCAUUUCAUUUAAAUGUAAAAAUGAAAUAACUUUGAGUAAAUAUUUGAUACGAAUGGUUUUUGUCGUUAAAUAUAAAUAACAGUGGUUUUUACAUUUACUGCAGUCGUCAUAAUUUGAAAAAUUAUUCAUUUAAAUUAGGGUGAAAAUUAAAUUCCUUUCAUCAUAAAUAUCAAUACGUUUUAAGUGAAUAACUACUUAUUCUAAUCGAAUACAAUAUGUAAAAAUAAUUACAUUUUAUUAUUUAAACUUAAACUUUAGCCAAAUGAAACAACAUGUCAUUUGCAACUAAUUUCAGAUUUUCGUAAAAACCCUAUUUUUUGUUUUCUCAAUAGCUUGGUCUCUAUGGCAUCAAUCACGCUCAAAUUUCAGUAUGUUAUAGCUGGGCCUUAGAGCUUCGACUAAAAAAAAAAAAAACGCAAAACUUCCCGGGCUAGAAUCAAAUUAUUUUUCUUUAAAUGGUUAUAGCUCUGUUUCUAACUCUCAUAAUUUGAUCAAUGAGGGCGUUUUGGUAAACUUUCGUGAAAUGCCGAUCUCCUUUUAACAUCAUAAGUUCGUAAAACUACAGCUAGGGGUGCUAUAAUUAAAAAGAAAACUUUCCAAUUUUCUAAGUUAAUUAGCUCCGGCUCUAUAGCACGGAUCGGGCUGAAAUUUUGGUAGAGGGAGCGGAUUGAGCUAAAAAUUCUUCAUGAAUCUCUCUUAAACAUGCCUAAGAAACUUACUUAUGUUAUAAAGAAUAAGGUAAAUACCAAUUAUUAAAGCAUUCUUAUUGAUUAGGUUUUUUAAAUUUUCAUUUUAAAAAAAUUGAAUGAAUUUCGCUCUAAAUCAUCCAAAAAUUUAAUAUUUGGCUGGCGUACACGCACGAACGCAAAUGCACGAGGGUCAGUGUAUUGUGUUCUUCAAAUGGCGUGAUUUGCAUAAAAUAAAUAAUAUUACUUUCUAUAUGCAUUGAUUAUAACAAUUAAUAAUUUGAAUGAAAUUUAUAUUUAUUUAGAAUGAAAAACCAAUCAAAUCUAAUACUAUUUUUUGAAUCAAUAGCAUAAGUAUUUGAAAAAAAGGAAACUACAUUCAGAUCUAUGACUGAUUCCAUCAGUACGGAAAACAUUAAAACGAGUCAGUCUUGAAGAAGCCGCUGAGUUGAAAAGUUGUCACACAAAUUAUUUCCAAUCUAUUUGAAAAUGAAAAAAAAACUAAAAAAUGGUUACAGUGGAUAAGUAAACUUAUAAAGUUGCAAAAAUCAUCAAGUGAUCGACAAAGAAAUUUGAUAAAGUGUUGGAAAUCGUUAGAUUGGGUAAGUAAAAAAAUGUUUGCCAGAAAAGUAUUAACCAUAUUCGGUAAAUUAAAUUAAAUUUAUUUCUUCUUUUAAGCUAAAAUGGAAUGUCAAACUUUUUAUUAUUUUAUUUAAAUUUAAAAUUCGUCGUAAGAAUUUUUUAUUAUUUAAUAUUUUACUAACGAUUUGUAAUUUUCGAUAUUGUUCAAGUUCAAUCGAUCAUCCUGAUUGCAAGUCAUUGUUGAUUGGAAACGUCCGUGAGCAGAAGCUGGAAAAUUAUCACCAUAUCUGUUUUAUCGAACUACUUUUCUUCAAAAAUUCCAUCUAGGAGAGACCUAAAUAGUAUCAAGGACAAUCAUUGUCUUUUCCAUGGAAUUGGAAAAGUGAUUCGCAGAUAGCAGCAGAACUCAGAGCAAACAGUAAAGGACGUAAAUCUGCAAAACACAACUUAGAAAAGUGAGCGCUGUAAUAAAAGUAGACGAGGAGCACUACCACUGAUCAAAUUUCAUUAUGUCAUCGUUUAUCUUUACGGGGCAAAAGACAAUCAGUCUUUUGAAGUAUCUUAUUUCUUCUGAAACUGGUAAACACUAUUGGGAGAAAGCAGAAGAGCAUACAUCCAAAAGCUGAGAAGAAGACUUCACGAAACUACUAGAAAGUCGUGCAACACCCCAUAGAAAUUAAUGUAAUA